UGCAAGUCGAGCGAACUGAUUAGAAGCUUGCUUCUAUGACGUUAGCGGCGGACGGGUGAGUAACACGUGGGCAACCUGCCUGUAAGACUGGGAUAACUUCGGGAAACCGAAGCUAAUACCGGAUAGGAUCUUCUCCUUCAUGGGAGAUGAUUGAAAGAUGGUUUCGGCUAUCACUUACAGAUGGGCCCGCGGUGCAUUAGCUAGUUGGUGAGGUAACGGCUCACCAAGGCAACGAUGCAUAGCCGACCUGAGAGGGUGAUCGGCCACACUGGGACUGAGACCGGCCCAGACUCCUAC
This 297-nucleotide ribosomal RNA is filed under the name Bacillus sp. (in: firmicutes). RNAcentral's name for it is "Bacillus sp. (in: Bacteria) partial 16S ribosomal RNA". It matches the Rfam family "Bacterial small subunit ribosomal RNA", at positions 56 to 342 of the family's 1533-position model. Lineage: Bacteria; Bacillati; Bacillota; Bacilli; Caryophanales; Bacillaceae. The record is from RNAcentral.